Molecule: ribosomal RNA, 465 nt
Filed under: uncultured bacterium
Lineage: Bacteria
Description: bacterial SSU rRNA
Rfam family: Bacterial small subunit ribosomal RNA
Source: RNAcentral
CCUACGGGCGGCACCAGUGGGGAAUAUUGCACAAUGGGCGCAAGCCUGAUGCAGCCAUGCCGCGUGUAUGAAGAAGGCCAUCGGGUUGUAAAGUACUUUCAGCGAAGAGGAAGGCGUUAAGGUUAAUAACCUUGGCGAUUGACGUUACUCGCAGAAGAAGCACCGGCUAACUCCGUGCCAGCAGCCGCGGUAAUACGGAGGGUGCAAGCGUUAAUCGGAAUUACUGGGCGUAAAGCGCACGCAGGCGGUCUGUCGAGUCGGAUGUGAACUCCCCGGGCUCAACCUGGGAACUGCAUUCGAAACUGGCAGGCUAGAGUCUUGUAGAGGGGGGUAGAAUUCCAGGUGUAGCGGUGAAAUGCGUAGAGAUCUGGAGGAAUACCGGUGGCGAAGGCGGCCCCCUGGACAAAGACCGACGCUCAGGUGCGAAAGCGUGGGGAGCAAACAGGAUUAGAUACCCGAGUAGUC